Long non-coding RNA from Pseudophryne corroboree (corroboree frog), 569 nucleotides. RefSeq lists it as uncharacterized. NCBI's taxonomy places the organism in Eukaryota, Metazoa, Chordata, Amphibia, Anura, Myobatrachidae. The record is from RefSeq and is a predicted model, not a curated record. The transcript has 4 exons.
CGCGACCGCGACGUUACGCGCGUGCGCGCCUGCGCGGCUUCGGUGAGCGGGCUUAACAGCCAGUAACAGCGGGGAGGACGGCGCACAUCGGGAUCCUGCAGCAGGAGAGAAGAACCCCUUCGGAACGCAGCAGACCACACUGAAAAGGGUGCAUCCACGGUGCGGUGCUCUGCAUCCCGGGUGGCGCCGAAGAUGUGGAGUGUCGGAGGUGGCAGAAGCGCCGCAGCUUGGGGCAUCUUCUGGACGAUGGGAUCUCCUACAUGAAUAGUGAAUACCGACUGAAGACGCCGUCUGCCUUAGAGGGUACAGUUCUUCAGAGGUUCCAUAUUGCGAUCAACCAUCAUAUAGUUAAGGUAAUUACAAUUGACUACAACCACCAACAUAUUCUGCUGCACUAUAUCUGUAUAUGCAAAGCUAAUUCUGCUAGGUAACUACAAUUGACUACAACCACCAACAUAUUCUGCUGCACUAUAUCUGUAUAUGCAAAGCUAAUUCUGCUAGGUAAUUACAAUUGACUACAACCACCAACAUAUUCUGCUGCACUAUAUCUGUAUAUGCAAAUCUAAUUC